GACGAACGCGGCGGCGUGCCUAAACAUGCAAGUAGAACGCUGAAGGAGGAGCUUGCUUCUCUGGAUGAGUUGCGAACGGGUGAGUAACGCGUAGGUAACCUGCCUGGUAGCGGGGGAUAACUAUUGGAAAUGAUAGCUAAUACCGCAUAAGAGUAGAUGUUGCAUGACAUUUGCUUAAAAGGUGCAAUUGCAUCACUACCAGAUGGACCUGCGUUGUAUUAGCUAGUUUGUGGGGUAACGGCUCACCAAGGCGACGAUACAUAGCCGACCUGAGAGGGUGAUCGGCCACACUGGGACUGAGACACGGCCCAGACUCCUACGGGAGGCAGCAGUAGGGAAUCUUCGGCAAUGGACGGAAGUCUGACCGAGCAACGCCGCGUGAGUGAAGAAGGUUUUCGGAUCGUAAAGCUCUGUUGUAAGAGAAGAAACGAGUGUGAGAAGUGGAAAG
RNAcentral lists this ribosomal RNA (448 nucleotides) under Streptococcus mitis. RNAcentral describes it as "bacterial SSU rRNA". It matches the Rfam family "Bacterial small subunit ribosomal RNA", at positions 28 to 471 of the family's 1533-position model. The record is from RNAcentral. Lineage: Bacteria; Bacillati; Bacillota; Bacilli; Lactobacillales; Streptococcaceae.